This 307-nucleotide ribosomal RNA is filed under the name uncultured eukaryote. RNAcentral describes it as "partial 18S ribosomal RNA". It matches the Rfam family "Eukaryotic small subunit ribosomal RNA", at positions 1470 to 1796 of the family's 1831-position model. The record is from RNAcentral.
CCCUUAGACGUUCUGGGCCGCACGCGCGCUACACUGACGAAGGCAACGAGUUUUCCUUUACCGAAAGGUACGGGUAAUCUUUUGAAACUUCGUCGUGCUGGGGAUAGAUCCUUGCAAUUUUUGAUCUUAAACGAGGAAUGCCUAGUAAGCGCAAGUCAUCAACUUGCGUUGAUUACGUCCCUGCCCUUUGUACACACCGCCCGUCGCUACUACCGAUUGAAUGGUUUAGUGAGGCCUUCGGAUCCGCGACUCGUUUGUGGAGAAGUUGGACAAACUCAGUCAUUUAGAGGAAGUAAAAGUCGUAACA